CUACAUUUCCCAAGACCCCCUUCAGUCAACAUGUUUGAAUACUCACAUCAGAGCAGCAUUUUCUUGUUCAAUGAGUUGUUGCUUCUCCUCCAUGGAUUUGACACAAGCUUCAAAAACAACAACAACAAACAACUUUAAGAAGUUACCGGAGCAGUUUCCCAACCACCAUUAUGCUACAGGUUCAUUGUUCGAUGUCGAAGCUUGCUUGUCUCAAUAGUUGCAAUUUCAAGUUUCUCGCGUGCUAUUUUUCUAGAUAAUUCCUAAAUAUGAAUGCCACAGUGAAAUGAACACAUAGCCUACAUGGGUC
RNAcentral lists this long non-coding RNA (307 nucleotides) under Sinocyclocheilus grahami. Its description in RNAcentral is "lncRNA (ENSSGRG00000021694.1)". Lineage: Eukaryota; Metazoa; Chordata; Actinopteri; Cypriniformes; Cyprinidae. The record is from RNAcentral.